CUUGGCGGGAUCCAGGGGCGCCUUCGCCGGGAGGAGCCGGGAAUGACCCGGCAGCACGGCAGCGAUCCGCAGGGUGACAGUGCUGAACGGGAAAGAGAAACGAAUGCUAGGAACGAUGCCCACACAUCUCCACUGAAGAUGAAGUUCUUCUCCUCACAGAAGAAAUCCAGACUGGGCACGAGCAUCACCAAGCCCGACCCCCGGGAGGGACACCCUGCCUUGUCCUGUCUAUAGUGGGCACUCUGCCAACAGCUGUGCCCACACACUGGAGCCUGAAUGCAUUUCAAGGGCCUUUGCUAAUGAAGGCAGCGAUAAUUGUACAAAUCUAGACAUUCCAGCUAGUAACAAGGAUUUGGCAGAGGGAGAGUUCACUGCAAAAUGCGAAACACCACUGAAUUCGCUCCCCCAGUUUCCAGCAGACCUCCUUGGAGGAGCAGGGCAGAUGUUUCAAGAAGCUGCCCUGAGAGCAUGACACGCCUGCCAGGGAAUGCUCUGGGCGCAGCCCAAGCCAGCACCUCUCGCUCUCAGCUGCACACCUCGCUGCAGCAGCAGUUCUCGGGGAGAGCUAUGAAGGUGCACUGCCCACUGAAAUCCCAAGGGUAUAAGUGGCAAGCUGUUGGUGCCACAUUGUGUGAGAAUAACUGAGAUUUAUUGGUGAAAGUAACACUAUCAAGGCUCAAAACAUUUGCCUAGACACUGAGCAGAACGCUGAUAAUUUUGAAAUCCAUCUGAUGAAAUUCCUGAAACUGUGCUUAUAUAUGCUGGAAAGGACUGUGUUUGUAUGAGGAGUCUUUGUGAUCCCAUAGUCACAGACUACACCACUACAGGAUAAACAAUCACUCAAACAGCUGUGUGGUAACAAAUAGGGGAUGCAACCUCAACCAUUCCACUCCUGUCACAACCCCUGAAUUACUGCAAUCUGCAUACACAUCCCAUCAAGGUUUCCUGCCCCCUCCUAUUGGAAUAAACCAGGCACUGCUGAAAAAAUUCCUGCAGCAUGAGCCAUGUCAACUACUGGAACAUGUCUGAAGUGGUGGACACAGCUCUAAUCACUGCUCAUCAGGCAACAGGAGAAACACCAUGUCUUGGAGUGAGAGGAGAUGGAGAACACCAGUGGUAGGACAUUUUGUUCAGGUGGCCUCUAACCACAAGAGGAAUUUCAGAUCUGAUACUGCACCCUCUUCUAAUUUUGCUGAUUUUUGUCUUAUUCUGCUCCUUGUUAAAUGUUUUCCUUACUGGAGUGUGGCUAUCAGCAAACCUCCCCUCACAUAUAACAUGGUUCCAUCACAUUCAAAGAAGCCACAAAAACAUAACCUGAUCAAAAAUCUCCCUGACUUUGUAAGUGGAACAUAAUCAGAUCUGCAUUUACAGGCACAGAGGCCAGAGCUGACAGCAGAAGCUGGCUGUAGUCCCCGGGUGGACUGUGGGGGUGCAGCCCCUUUCCUGGCUGCACCAUGAUCUCAGAAAUGCUCCUUCAGCCUCGGCCUCGAGGAGCAGCCCCUGGGCUCAGCUCCUCUGGACUGAACACAAACACUGCUCCCAGGCCCUGCUCCUGCCUUCCUUAGGAGCAGCCCUGGGAACAGACUCUCUUGCCCAAACAGCACAACAUCCCCGUUGUCACACUUUCAGUGGAAGUGCGGCCAGGAUGAACCAUUGCUGUGACUGGAGCCCCUCUCGUGGGGCCCUGCAAACAGCGCUGCAAAAGGAGCCCCUUGGAGCUCUCCUGGGCCAGCGACUCCCUCUGAGUGGGGCCUCUCCCAGCCGGGAGCUCUCCCGUUUGCUGCCCUGGGGGGAGCCCCAAAAAAUGACGAGUCCUGGGCUGAUCCUCCCACUCCUCGAAGGCUGACCCGCUGGGGAGAUGCCACAGCAUCCAAAGUGAGCAUUUCCCUGCCCUCGGGGGAGUUCCUCCCAGGUACAUCACACUGACUGGCUGUGUGCACACAGAGUGCCGGUGCCCUGGCAAAGCUGGCAGAAAUGCUGCUCCCUGAGGGGCUGAGUACCUCCGGUAUCCCACUAAAUUAGGCCUGUGAGCGAGGUUAAGACAUGAGUUCUAAGCUGAGUGAAAUGCUGCCAAGUGUUGCUCUCUGCGAAGUUGCUCAGUUCGACUUUGAUUUCCUAAGUUCAGUUAAGAGCUGUUAAGUGUCAUUCCUCUGUUCAUUGUUAGGGUUAGGCUGUGAGUUAAGUAAGCUAUUCGUCAAGUGUUGUUCCUUUGUUAAAUUAUUAGGUUUAAGGUAUAACUUAAGCACUAUUAAGUCUGAGUGGUAUGAAGCUUUUAGUCCACAUUCCUUUUUAUCUUUGCCCUCAUUGUUCCUUUUGUCACAAACAAACACACCCCAUUAA
Long non-coding RNA from Passer domesticus (house sparrow), 2340 nucleotides. RefSeq lists it as uncharacterized. The record is from RefSeq and is a predicted model, not a curated record. Lineage: Eukaryota; Metazoa; Chordata; Aves; Passeriformes; Passeridae. The transcript is spliced from 2 exons.